UGGCCCCUGACGCUUCACGCCCUGCUUUCCGGAAGCCUCAAAGCUUAAUCGCCCUCUCCCUCUGAUCCACCCUUUUCGGGACCGCCUCCUCCGACUCGCCCGGCACAGCCUGAUGACCGGUUUUGUCUCUUCCGCUUCCGUUUCCGUAUACUGGGGGUCUCCCCGAAGGCGAAGCGUGGUGAGGUCGGAACCUUUGUGCAGCCGGAACUAAGGUGCGCUACUCCGCUGGCAGCCGGAGGACUGCAUAAACAGGAAUACCAGUUUUCUUCUAGCAGUUGAUCACUGAGGUUCCGGUGGGGCAUUGGCGAGUGAGCUCUUCAGCUUCGUUUCCUGUUAUGCACCGACCGAAUUUUCGACCACCAACUCCUCCGUACCCCAGCCCGGGGAUAGGAGGUUGGGGUGGCGGAAACAACUUCCGGGGUACCCUGGGCGGGGGGCCGCGGCCGCCCUCCCCGCGGGACGGGUACGGGAGUCCGCACCACACUCCGCCCUGCGGGCCCCGGGCUAGGCCGUACGGGAGCAGCCACUCUCCGCGGCAAGGCGGCAGCUUCUCGGGGGCCCGCUUCGGGUCUCCGUCCCCGGGCGGCUACCCAGGCUCCUACUCCAGGUCCCCCGCGGGGUCCCAGCAUCAGUUCGGCUACUCCCCAGGGCAGCAGCAGACCUACCCCCAGGGUUCUCCAAGGACAUCUACACCAUUUGGAUCAGGGCGUGGUAGAGAAAAAAGAAUGUCUAAUGAGUUGGAAAGUUAUUUUAAGCCUUCAAUGCUUGAAGACCCUUGGGCUGGCCUAGAACCAGUAUCUGUAGUGGAUAUAAGCCAACAGUACAGCAAUACGCAAACAUUCACAGGCAAAAAAGGAAGAUACUUUUCUUAACAUUUCUGAAAUUCAACUGGAAGCCUCAUGUGUCAGGAACAUCUUGGACAGAACUUUUACUUGUGAAAAUGAGUUGAACCCAAAGAUGAUGACUUUGAAUAAUGAUUAGCAGACCCUUGGUAUAUCUCUAACUUUAUCAAGUGUUGAUAUUAGAGGAAAUGAUAGGGUAAUUUACAGUAUUUAGCUAUCUGGGAGUGUGUACCACGGAACACAGUUUUCAUAUUUAACAUUUCCAAGAUAACAAACAUUUGUUUUUUUCAGUGUUUUACAAUAAAACAUUUUUGUCUUCCUAAUUGUGAUUUUGUUGAUAUGUAGAAUUGCUAAAAUAAUGCUUCAUAAUCACUUAGAAUUUGAGGGUGUUUUACAGACUAUUUUUUUAACGAAAUAGAUAAGCUACCCUAGACAGUUCUCUAUAUAUUUAUUAAUAGAAAGUUGUUCUACAUUCAUUUUUUUGCAUUUCUGUUAAAAUAUUGAAACAAAAAAAAUCACUGGAAAUCACUUAACAUUACUUAUACUUUUUACUUAUUUAACCACAAAAGGCCAGGAUAAGAAAUAAGAAAUGUGUGUGUGUGUGUGUGUGUGUGUGUGUGUGUGUGUGUGUGUGUGUGUGUAUACAUAUAUAUAUAUAUAUAUAUAUAUAUAUAUAUAUAUAUAUGCAGUUCAGUGUUCUAUCAAAGUUUCUCUAUAUUUUGAGCAUUAUAGACAUACUUUCUCUUGAAGCCAAAGAAGGUGGUAUGUUGAUUUCUUGUCAUUGUGAUAAAAUGCCAGGGGGCAUUUUGGGUCAUAGUUUCUAAGGUUCCAGUAGAAGUUCAGCUGAAUCCAUUAGUUAGUCUUGAGGUGAGCCAAAAUAUCUGUAGAUAAGGCAGAAGCUGCUCACCCUUGGCUACCAAGGUAUAGAAAGACAGAAGGGGCCAGAGACAAUUGGAGCCUUUUCUAGAGCACCUUCGCCUUUUUCUACUUCCCAAUAAUAGCAUCAUGUGAACCAUUGAGGUAUUAAUCCACUUAAGAGGUUAACACCCUGACAAUCUAAUCACUUCCCAAUAAUCAGACAAGCCUUUAACAUAUGACCCAUUUGGGAAGACACUUCACAUCCAUACCACAACAAAUGGCUAAUAGUAAUGGCUCAGAUCA
Molecule: long non-coding RNA, 2003 nt
Filed under: Rattus norvegicus (Norway rat)
Lineage: Eukaryota; Metazoa; Chordata; Mammalia; Rodentia; Muridae
Description: long non-coding RNA NONRATT012980
Source: RNAcentral